GUCCUCUUGUGUUUAUAUGAGGUCUGACCUGCCCAGUGAAAUAUUUAACGGCCGCGGUAUAUUGACCGUGCAAAGGUAGCAUAAUCAUUAGUCUUUUAAUAGAAGGCUGGAAUGAAAGGUUCCACGAAUCAUUAACUGUCUCAUUUAUAUGGUUAAAAUUUAAUUUUUAAGUUAAAAAGCUUAAAUUAAAUUGUAGGACGAGAAGACCCUAUAGAGCUUUACAUUUUAUUUUUUAAUAUUAUUUUGUUAAAUAACUUUUUAUUAAAAUUAUAAUGUUUUGUUGGGGUGAUAAAAUUAUAUAUUAAACUUUUUUAUUUAGUAAACAAAUCUUUUUGAUUAUUUGAUCCAUUAUUAUUGAUUAAUAGAAUAAGUUACCUUAGGGAUAACAGCGUAAUCUUCUUUUGGAGUUCAAAUUUACAAGAAGGCUUGCGACCUCGAUGUUGGAUUAAGAUAAUAAUUUGGUGUAGUAGUUGAAUUAAUAGGUCUGUUCGACCUUUAAAAUCUUACAUGAUCUGAGUUCAGACCGG
RNAcentral lists this ribosomal RNA (527 nucleotides) under Indocnemis orang. RNAcentral's name for it is "partial 16S ribosomal RNA". It matches the Rfam family "Bacterial large subunit ribosomal RNA", at positions 1829 to 2619 of the family's 2925-position model. The record is from RNAcentral. Lineage: Eukaryota; Metazoa; Arthropoda; Insecta; Odonata; Platycnemididae.